GCCCUUGGCUGGAGCGCCGGAGCCGCGCGGGGGCAGCCUUUUCAGCUCUGGGCUUUCCAGCCCCGGCAGAAGGCGGGUUUUGCUUUCCUUUUGUCUCUUAGCCGGCCUCGUCUCCGAUUCUGAUCGUGAGCCAGCCACACCAGGGCUAAGCAUGGCCGACGAAACUUCCCAGGACCCUCAGGACCUUCCACUCUUUGUAGAAGAGGAUGACAUACUGAAGCAGGAGUUCCAAGUUGGGGACCCUUGAAGACCCAUGGAUAGAAUUCAGAAAGUCUGUGAACUUGGAUGGGAAAGAAAUUACAUCUUUAUUUUCAGUAAUCACUAAUAGAAAUUAGCAUUUCCUUCAACUAAAAGUGGAGCCCCCCGCUACCCCAACCCUCAAAAGCGCUAGUGAUUGUGUUACUGGUAGAAAUCUCUUAAGAUUUUCACAUCACAUUACAGUCAUAGAUAUCCUGAAAUAUUAUUUAUGCUCAUUGCUAAUUUAAAAUCAUGGUAGAUGUUAGGCCUGACACUAGGUUUUGUUAUUUAAUGAGUUAAUAAAGAAGCAUUUAUCUUAGUGUAUCACGUAUUUUGCUUUUAAAAUAUUUUAUGGGAGUUCCCAUUGUGGCUCAGUGGGUUAAGGACCCAACAUAGUGUCUGUGAGGAUUCGGGUUUGAUCCCUGGCCUUGCUCAGUGGGCUAACUACCCAGCAUUGCUGCAAGCUGCGGAACAGUCACAGAUGCAGCUCUAGUCUGGUGUUGCUGUGGCUAUGGUGGAGGCCAGCAGCUGCAGCUCUGACUCAAUCCCUGCCCUGGGAAACUUUCAUAUGCCACAGGUGUGGCUGUAAAAAGAAAAUAAAACAUAACAUUACAAAUUUUCUUCCUUUGUAAUUCUGUAUAUUUUAUUUCAAAUAUUUAGAGAUAUUAUUUAAUACUUUAUUUGUAUGCACAGUGCCUGUCACUUAAUAGGCGUGCCAUGAAUGAUUCUUCAUGGUCAUGAGAAUUUUUCCUAUACUUUUGGUUCUGCCUUAAAUCUAUAAUUAUGUAAAGAAUAAGCCAGCAAGGCCAGCUUGGUCCAUAGAAAAAACUUGACUACAUUUUCAAAUAAUGUGGUUAGGGAAAGAUUUAUUAUUUCACUUAAACUUUUUAUCCUCAAAUAAAGUUUGAA
RNAcentral lists this long non-coding RNA (1146 nucleotides) under Sus scrofa (pig). Its description in RNAcentral is "lncRNA (ENSSSCG00060015203.1)". The record is from RNAcentral. Lineage: Eukaryota; Metazoa; Chordata; Mammalia; Artiodactyla; Suidae.